Molecule: non-coding RNA, 58 nt
Organism: Aedes albopictus (Asian tiger mosquito)
Lineage: Eukaryota; Metazoa; Arthropoda; Insecta; Diptera; Culicidae
Source: Rfam
UAGCCUAGUGGUUAAGGCUAUGGAUCGCCAAUCCAGAGACGGCGGGUUCGAUUCCCGU